CUGGCUUGUACACAAACAUCAAUAAGGAACUACCAUUCCUACUCAGGAUACAGUACUUUCAUACCCUGAACUGACUAAAAUGAAACUCUCUUUGAUGGGUGCUGUUUUGUUGAUUUCUGUACUCUGCACAAAUGUCCAGGGUGGUUGACUGAAAAACAUGUCAUUGGCUGUCUCUUCUGAUCGAUCCUAUGGUCCUCCUCCUAGCAACCAGGUCCAACUUUCACAACCCUAAUUAGCUAUGGGAAACACAGUAGAGAAGACUAAACUACAUUUUGUUGCAAGACUGAUGUCCUUGUUUUUCCACAUUCAGCUCAUGUUCAUCACUGUUUAACUCAAUGAUGGCGAAUCUUUUAGAGACUGAGUGCCCAAACUGCAACCCAAAACCCACUUAUGUAUCAACGGGUGCCAGGCAAUGUAAAGCAAAGCAUUUCUAUGGAAAAAUGGACUCUGGUGCCUAAAGAGGACUUUAAGAUAAGUCACUUUCAGAUACAAAUAUUAUUCUGUAUUACUGACAUUGACAGUAAUGGGAGGGUAAAGGCAAAAAUAUUAAAGUAUUUGCUACCUUGAUAUAAGGGAUGCAUGAGAGUCAGUGGCAUACUCUUUUAAGCAGAUAUUUCAUUUUCACUCGUUUCUUCUAGAUCCACCAACUGCAUUUGCUGGGAAUAAAACCAGAGCUGCCUCCCCUUUCCACACUUCAUAAUUUCUUCUUAAUCAAGUAUCAAUGUGAAAUUACAACUUUCUCCUGAGAAGAGCUCCAGCAAUUAUCUUUCUUUCUGUUGAUUUGAGGGUACUUUCCCUUAAUUGUGAUCAAUCUAUAGGAAUA
This is a long non-coding RNA of Crotalus tigris (Tiger rattlesnake), 823 nucleotides long. RefSeq lists it as uncharacterized. The transcript has 5 exons. The record is from RefSeq and is a predicted model, not a curated record. NCBI's taxonomy places the organism in Eukaryota, Metazoa, Chordata, Lepidosauria, Squamata, Viperidae.